ACCAAUUUUAUAGUGAAACUGCGAAUGGCUCAUUAAAUCAGUUAUAAUUAACUUGAUAAUUUUAUACCAGUGGAUAACCGUGGUAAUUCUAUGGCUAAUACAUACAUUAAAGGGCUUUACUAUGUAAAGCCUGUAAUUAUUAGAUAAAAAACCAAUGCAUGCAAAUGCUUAUUUGGUGAUUCAUAGUAAAUUUACAGAUCGUUGUCAUUGACGACGUGUCAAUAAAAUUUCUGCCCUAUCAAUUGUCGAUGGUAAGGUAGUGGCUUACCAUGGUUGCAACGGGUGACGGGGAAUAAGGGUUCUAUUCCGGAGAGGGAGCCUGAGAAACGGCUACCACAUCCAAGGAAGGCAGCAGGCGCGCAAAUUACCCAAUCCUAAUACAGGGAGGUAGUGACAAUAAAUAACAAUCCAGGGCCCUUAUGGGUCAUGGAAUUGGAAUGAAUACAAAUUAAAACUCUUAAUGAGGAACCAUUGGAGGGCAAGUCUGGUGCCAGCAGCCGCGGUAAUUCCAGCUCCAAUAGCGUAUAUUAAAGUUGUUGCAGUUAAAACGCCCGUAGUCGAAUUUUUGAGAGAAUGAGGGUUUAAAAAGGGUUUAAUUUUUAAUUAAAUACCUUUUUUUUUUCUUAGUCUCUCAUUUUAUAUUUCUGGUCUUUGGGCUUAAUCGGUACUUUAUUGUAUCGAUUAAGUCAUUUCCAAUAGGUGGGCCAGAAAUAAUUACUUUGAAAAAAUUAGAGUGUUCAAAGCGGGCUUUUUAAGCCGAAUACAUUAGCAUGGAAUAAUAAAAUAAGACUAUGGUUUUAUUUUGUUGGUUUAUAAAACCAAAGAAAUGAUGAAUAGGUCUGGUUGGGGAUAUUAGUAUUUUUUAGUCAGAGGUGAAAUUCUUGGAUUUAUGAAAGACUAACUUCUGCGAAAGCAUUUAUCAAGGACAGGAUCAUUGAUCAAGGACGAAAGUUGGGGGAUCGAAGAUGAUUAGAUACCGUCGUAGUCUCAACCAUAAACUAUGCCAACUAGGGAUUGGGGCUGAUUUUAUCAGUCUCAGCACCUUGUGAGAAAUCAAAGUUUUUGG
Molecule: ribosomal RNA, 1066 nt
Filed under: Furia virescens
Lineage: Eukaryota; Fungi; Entomophthoromycota; Entomophthoromycetes; Entomophthorales; Entomophthoraceae
Description: SSU rRNA
Rfam family: Eukaryotic small subunit ribosomal RNA
Source: RNAcentral